GGAGUUGUAGCUCAGAGGUAGAGCAUUUGCCUCGUACAUGUGAGGCACUGGGUUCAAUUCCCAGCACCA
Molecule: non-coding RNA, 69 nt
Organism: Ictidomys tridecemlineatus (thirteen-lined ground squirrel)
Lineage: Eukaryota; Metazoa; Chordata; Mammalia; Rodentia; Sciuridae
Source: Rfam